This 404-nucleotide ribosomal RNA is filed under the name Fusobacteriota bacterium. RNAcentral's name for it is "Fusobacteria bacterium partial 16S ribosomal RNA". It matches the Rfam family "Bacterial small subunit ribosomal RNA", at positions 355 to 776 of the family's 1533-position model. The record is from RNAcentral. Lineage: Bacteria; Fusobacteriati; Fusobacteriota.
UGGGGAAUAUUGCACAAUGGAGGGAACUCUGAUGCAGCGACGCCGCGGGAGUGAUGAAGGAAUUCGUUUCGUAAAACUCUGCUCUAUGGGAAGAAAAGGACUGUACCAUAGGAGAAAGCUCCGGCUAAAUACGUGCCAGCAGCCGCGGUAAUACGUAUGGAGCGAGCGUUGUCCGGAAUUAUUGGGCGAAAAGGGUGCGCAGGCGGCUUUACAAGUUGGAUGUGAAAUAUUGUGGCUCAACCACAAACGUGCAUCCAAAACUGCAAAGCUUGAGUUAAGGAGAGGUAAGGGGAAUUCCUGGUGUAGCGGUGGAAUGCGUAGAUAUCAGGAGGAAUACCGGUUGCGAAAGCGACUUACUGGACUUAAACUGACGCUCAGGCACGAAAGCGUGGGGAGCAAACAGG